CCGCGCCCGCCGAAGACAUCUCGAACUCUGUCUGAAGAUUGUAGUCUGAGUAAAAAUAUAAAUUAUUUAAAACUUUCAACAACGGAUCUCUUGGUUCCGGCAUCGAUGAAGAACGCAGCGAAAUGCGAUACGUAAUGUGAAUUGCAGAAUUCAGUGAAUCAUCGAGUCUUUGAACGCACAUUGCGCCCUCUGGUAUUCCGGAGGGCAUGCCUGUCCGAGCGUCAUUGCUGCCCUCAAGCACGGCUUGUGUGUUGGGCCCCGUCCUCCGAUCCCGGGGGACGGGCCCGAAAGGCAGCGGCGGCACCGCGUCCGGUCCUCGAGCGUAUGGGGCUUUGUCACCCGCUCUGUAGGCCCGGCCGGCGCUUGCCGAUCAACCAAAUUUUUAUCCAGGUUGACCUCGGAUCAGGUAGGGAUACCCGCUGAACUUAAGCAUAUCAAUACAGCGGAGGAAACCUUGUUNANAUUUUNCAUUCCUCUUANCUGGAGGAAA
Molecule: ribosomal RNA, 490 nt
Filed under: Penicillium sp. TDpeni1
Lineage: Eukaryota; Fungi; Ascomycota; Eurotiomycetes; Eurotiales; Aspergillaceae
Description: eukaryotic LSU rRNA
Rfam family: 5.8S ribosomal RNA (bases 71-224)
Source: RNAcentral